Long non-coding RNA from Panicum virgatum (switchgrass), 3815 nucleotides. RefSeq lists it as uncharacterized. NCBI's taxonomy places the organism in Eukaryota, Viridiplantae, Streptophyta, Magnoliopsida, Poales, Poaceae. The transcript has 2 exons. The record is from RefSeq and is a predicted model, not a curated record.
AUUAUUCCGUUGCAAAUUAGCAACCUUUCAAAUAAAAUUUGACAAAAUUACCGAGAGUAGGCAAAACCAUCUCCCGAAACCUUAAAUGGUCAAAUGGAGCGGAAUCCCCGAUGCUUGCUCCCCUUCUCCAAGUCGGCCAGAUUGGCGCUGAGCUUCAUAGAGGGGAAGAGGCGGCGAUUUUCAGUAGGGAAGGUCCUUCCGCUUCCGCAAGACCGCCCACAUCGAUCUGGAGGUUAGGUACGAGUUAUUUGGCCUUGCGGCUGCUGGAUUCUUCGCUUCCGUUUAAUCGGGGUUGCCGUUUUGUCGAUAACCCCGAUCACCUCCUGGAUUUGUGCAUUCGGGGCUGACCUAUCCGAUUUGCCACUUCGUAAACCUCCUGAAACCCACUGCAUGAUCCCAGCAGGAAGAUGUAGUAGGUGCUGUGUUACGGGAUCUCAACUCUUUGCUCGAUGCAACAGGAAGGGCGAGGCGAAGUAUGGUAAUUCUUGUAGAUCCAGUGCACCAAUGCUAAUGAGUGAUACGGUUUUGCAACAAAAAUUGGUGUAUUUCUGUGUUGGUACAGAGUCACAAUAAGGAAUAUGAGGAGAAACCCGAAUUCUUCCAUACACUAAUAACCUACAUGCCCUACUUAUUGUUAACUUAGCGCUUAUUUCACUGAGUAAUGAUGGCCGAGAGCACCGUUGGUCCUAGUGUCACCUACAUCCUGCCAUGGAGGAUACAUCAAUGCCGCUGAUCUUUGGAAGAAGAACUCAUUCGAUUUCACUUCCUCCCCUUGCUACUAGCUUGGCAGAGAGAGCCAAAGCUUAUCUGCUCCUCACUCUUGAUGAAGCAAGUCAGGUACAAAGUACAAUCCUCAAGUUCUUUUGCUAACUGUUGUUAGGUCCAAUUGAAUCCAUUCAAGUCAAAUUUCUUGCAGUUCUGAGGCCCAUCAUUUGUGUCAUUGAUAUUCAGGUCCAACUUUGCUGCCAUAAUAAAACUGUCUCUCUCACGCCUCUCUUGGUGACUUGGAGGUGUCCUGCUUAGCUUGUCAAGAAACAAAUCCUCACUUCCUCUUUCUUUUGCUUGUAUAUCAAAGCCCAUGCCUCCAAUCUCCUUUCCUCUGUGAGCAGAAAGGCUGAUUGAUAAGAUAUCUUGAUCCUUUUGUGAGCCAUCACAAGCAGUUAAGCAGCUGUCAACUGACCCGUCACCAAGUUGCAUGGUGUGCCCUUGUGCCAUUUGUGAACCUUCCAUCUCAAAACCUGUAAAUGUAUGCUGGAGGCAUUCUGUCGAUACCUUUGAGACUAAUUCUGACAGUUGCAUCUUCGCAGUUUCUAGGCCAACUGACCCUGUAUUCUGCUUUGCAAGUGUAUCCUGUGCCUUUUCUAGCACAGAUUGUAGGUACUUCCCUUGUGCUUCAAUGCGGAGUUGUAAAUGUCUUUGUACCUGUUGAAAGAUAUCAUUAAGUGUGAGGUGUCACGUUAUCAGUACUUGAACUUAAUGACAAACUCCUACUAGACAUAUGCAUCAUUUUCCAUAACAAGUUAUGUACAAGCAGCACAAUGGGGCAUGGGCUCCAAUUUUCCAAUAGCUUGAUACAUGGAAAGAAUAAUUCAUAAUUGGUUAGUUUUUCUGAACAAUACUAUAUCUCCUUAGACCCUAGACGACCAUGACAAGAUAAAGGAGCUAAUUCAUCAUGUGCAGGACAAACUUUGUGGACGCUCUGGAGCUAUAUUUAUGCAAACAUCCCAUACACUUUUUUCCCAUAGAUGUUUUAGAAAUAUAGAAAAUAGAUGAAAUUAGUUCUUGGCUAAAAGAAUUGAGGUGACACACUAAAAUAAUAUUUUUCUUAAUGGAUGGUGAUCGUGGCGUAGUUUUUUUUGAUAUAUGCAAUUAUACAUGACUUGAAUGUCCCUGAAGUUUACUAAAUGGUGAUUAAGCUAUGUAUAUUUUCUUAUUUGGGUGCUAGUAUGUACGUAAAAUCUGGUUUCGGGGUCCUAGUAUAUACUUAAAAUCUGGUUUUGGAUACAUGGAAAGAAUAAAAAUAUGGUUUUCCAUAACAAUUUUCCGAUAGCUCCAAUUUUAAUUACAUACUAGAACACUAAUCGCAGUAAAUCUAGUGUUGAGUCUGUUUUGCUAAAUGUUUUGCCGCACAACCUACUCUAGUGUUCUACUCUAUAUAUCUCCAACUGAUGCAUCAGCUAACAAACUGUGUUAUAUAUUUGCAAGGAAUGUAGAGGUGGUAAUUUAGCUGGUGAUGUGAUUGAUUUUCUUCUGCUUCUGUACCUCUAGUUGCUCAUGCAGUCGGCGCUGUACUUCAAUUUGCAUCUGAAGGGCUUCACCUAUGUGCACAGAUCUGAUAAAAUGCAAAGCCAUGUUAUCUUCUGCCAACAUGCUGAAGCAAACAUUUAUUCAUAUCUUACUUGUUUGUCUGGGUGCCAAGGUUUAGGUGGCUAGCUGGCGAUCCAUUUCCUUCAGGUGGCUUCUCCAUUGCCAUGGUGUAGCCAACCACUGAAGAGCAGAAAAGACGGUCAGUAUUAAGCUUAAUAGGAGGCUGAUAACUGCUAGGUAAUCUGAGAAUGUUAUGCUUACCAUUUUUUGCAUUUCCACCAUUAGCUUUAGCAUGAACAUUUUUGCUUAGUCUGUAUUUCUAGUAAGAGACAAAUCAACUUAGUUUCUUGUCACAAGGCAUGUACAAGGGAAUACACUAUACUAGGAAUUCCAUGUCUACCUGAAGAUGACUCUUAAGGUGAUAUAGUGUUAGUCCAGGGACACCCAUAAGUCUCAUGAUUGUCUUCGGUGUGGCUUCUGCAUAUUAUUACAGAACUUAGAUGGCAAUCUUCCUUGUGUUAACUUGUAUGAUAGGUAGAGGGUUUAAGCAUGUACUUACUAUCAGGUCCACCAAGUUGAUUUACCGCAUCCACAAAGCGCUCAUGUAGUUCAGGUGUCCAUUUUAACCUAGGCUUAGCGUCAGUCGAAAGCACAAGCCCUGGCUCUGCUGGAAUACUCCCUCCUUGCAGAAGUAAGUGCCUUUCUGGAGGGAAUGUCUGCCUAGAAGACAGGAAAUGGCUGUGGCUGUGGAGCUGUUGUUGAUGAUGAUACAUCUGCAAUGAAGAUAUUGCCGCCUUAAGGUUAGGGCCUACAGGAAGAGAUUUCUUCCUUUUCCCCCCUUUGUUUGAGCAAACCGAAUAGCACACACAUGGCACAUCUCAUACCUCUUCAGUUCCGUUUUGUACUGAUAUCUCGUUGCAGACUCCAGAAUCCUGAUUGGAACCGACUCUUGCAGUUUAUGAGCCUUUGUUUUUGGUGAACUGAGGGGUGUUUAUCGCACAAUGGAGCUAUAUUCUUUCGGAGUCUGCUCUAACAAACUAGGACUACUCAUGUCAUGCCAAGAUGUUAUGCAGAGUCUGGUUUUAUAAGGAAGGCAAGUGAGGAGCGAAUUUCGAAUAGUUGGAACAAACACUCAAGCCUGACCCAAUCUUCGCAGCAACUGAAAAGAGGGAAAAGGAAAAGUGGAUAGGCGAAUCUAACGGGGCUGUGCAUCUGUAUGGAGGAGUCCUCUGAGUUUGGUUGCUACCUGUUCUACAUAAGACGCAGAAAGUAGGGGCUUAAAAAUGACGGUUAGUUCCUUUAUUUCACUGCUCUUUGUUGCUUUUGCUUUGUAAGCGCGCCCUAUCCAAACCGAUAUGGUUAUUCUUGUUUAUUCGUCUUCCAUGCUUCAAAGGACUGUCUCAGGUUCAUUGUGAUACCUUUAAGCUCUAACUGACAUGAAGUCCAGUCAUCUGGAAUAGCCGAAUAAGUGGUGCUUAUCAUUGUCUUAUAUAGAGUAUUUUUGUCUA